Molecule: long non-coding RNA, 284 nt
Filed under: Ictidomys tridecemlineatus (thirteen-lined ground squirrel)
Lineage: Eukaryota; Metazoa; Chordata; Mammalia; Rodentia; Sciuridae
Description: lncRNA (ENSSTOG00000032833.1)
Source: RNAcentral
UUUAAUUGCAGGCUAAACUUGACCUUGGUAUCACCAGCCUUUAAGAGCUUUAAGAUCAAAGAUUAUGCCCAGCACAUUACAGUAGUGAUAGUCAGGUCUAAUCCUUAUGGCAGUCGGGCAGAGCACAACUUCCUGACAUCAAUUUUCAUGCAAUCCUCCUCGUGUUCUCGGCUUUCCAUUAACUGUGGAAGAAGGACAUAAUCCAGUGGCUAGGAAGAAAAUGGCCCCUUCUGCACACAAGAACUUCAGUAUCUGCUCUCUGGUGAAGUACAAGCUUGACAUUG